This 1437-nucleotide unclassified non-coding RNA is filed under the name Hevea brasiliensis (rubber tree). Lineage: Eukaryota; Viridiplantae; Streptophyta; Magnoliopsida; Malpighiales; Euphorbiaceae. The record is from RNAcentral.
AAUUGAUUGAAUAUAAUUGUUAUUAGUAAGCCGCCAGAGUUGCUUAGAAAAUUUGGCUCUCAAUCAUUAACAUAAGAUUUACCAUACUACAAAUUUGGAAAAAUAAGUGUGAGAAUUUGUGAAUUAUGGGUUUUGAUUAAUGAAACCAAUUAAGCUCCAAGUCAAUGAAGCAACCAACCCAUUGAAUCAAGAGUUAGGGAUUUUCUCCUGCAAACAGAUACCAUAAACAAUGUCAAGUUUGCUAUGAUUUAUUUGCCAAUUGGUCUCAUGCAUUUUCUAUAUGCUAGACUAUAAAUCUAUCACUUUCAUUUGGAAGAACAAAGACUUUAUCAGUCAUGCGCCACCACAACUGACCUUGAGUAUCUAGUACAAUUACAAUAAGUAAUGCAUACUUGGGAAACAGUAGCAAAUGGUUUGGCCGUCCAUAGAAACUUGAUCCGUGAUUGAAAAACUUUCACCAUCUGCCAUUCCUGCAAUCACAAUAUUUUCUCUUGGAUUAUUUGCAACUGUUCUUCAACUCCUGAAAAAAAAUAAGACUGCAGUCAUUUUUAAACAUUUGAAACAUAGCAGUGUAGCGAUAGUAUUCUCUCAAAAAACAAGGGGAAAAGAAAAAUAAUUCAUCAUGGAGGUUGAGCGCUUUGACAACACUGCUCCAUUUAUCUUAGAAUAUUUUGGUCUGACAGUGCUUGAAGACAAAUGAGGGUGGCUUUAAUGUAAUGGUAAAGCUACUCUAUUUAUAAUCUGAAAGUCAUGGGUUUAAUUCAUGGAAACAGCUUCUCUGCAAGGCAGGAGUAAAGUUGCAUAUGUCAAACCUCUCCAAAAUCCACUAGUGUGAUGCUUCAUGCACUGGAUCAACUUUUUGCUAUCCUCAAAAUGAAAAGUGUUCAUGAUGCAAUGAAUCGUAGGGGUUGAGCUUCCUUCUAAUAACAAAACUCCAGAACCAUGACACUCGCAAAAAGUCAUUAGAGAAAUUAUGUCCAGCCCAAUGGAAAUAAUCGUUUGCAAAACCAAAUACAUUAGCCUCCAUUACAUAUCAAAAUUCUGAUAGUAAUCAUUUUAAGUUUUGAAGUUGAACAAUCUUCACUUUACAAAUCCAGAGUGUUCCCUAUAUACAUGUCCCUCAGGAAGGCAAGUGGAGAUGAGAAGAACCAAGCCCUUUGAUCAGUAUUGUCAGUAUCUUUUACAGGUGAAAUUCCUUGACUGAGCUAAUCAGUUGAUAUAAAAACGUGAAACUCCAUUGAAGUCCUGUAGUUAGAAGCAUGAGGAUCCUGAUCAAGAUGGUGCUCCAAAUAUAAUAGGUCUUGAACCUCUGUGUAAAAAUCGAGGUUGAAAGCCUAAGGUUCAACUUCUUCAUGAGUUUCAUUAUAACAUUCUUGGCAUUUGAGUGAAGGAAAAAUAAUUCCACCUGACCAGGAAAAUCAAAAAGAAGGUAGUGAU